UUGUCCAGGCCAUCAGUGCCCUGUGUCAGAAAUAUCCUCGCAAACACGCCGUCCUUAUGAACUUCCUGUUCACCAUGCUGCGGGAAGAGGGUGGCUUUGAGUAUAAGCGCGCUAUCGUGGACUGCAUCAUCAGCAUCAUUGAAGAGAACUCAGAGAGCAAGGAGACAGGGCUGUCACAUCUGUGCGAGUUCAUCGAGGACUGUGAGUUCACAGUGCUGGCCACCCGUAUUCUACAUCUCCUGGGCCAGGAGGGGCCCAAGACCACCAAUCCCUCAAAGUACAUCCGCUUCAUCUAUAACCGAGUGGUCUUGGAGCAUGAGGAGGUCCGGGCAGGUGCUGUGAGUGCUCUGGCCAAGUUUGGAGCCCAGAAUGAAGAGAUGUUACCCAGUAUCUUGGUGUUGCUGAAGAGGUGAGUCUAGGCCCAGGGGCCCUAAUGGGGACAGUGUUCCCUUGGACACAAGCAGCUUUCCUUUGUCUUUAUUUUUUUUUAACUGAAAAGGGAGAGAAAAGUUAUACAGCUACUGAUUGUGGAAAAAAAAGAGAAA
This 545-nucleotide small RNA is filed under the name Pan troglodytes (chimpanzee). Its description in RNAcentral is "retained intron". The record is from RNAcentral. Lineage: Eukaryota; Metazoa; Chordata; Mammalia; Primates; Hominidae.